RNAcentral lists this ribosomal RNA (506 nucleotides) under uncultured bacterium. RNAcentral describes it as "partial 16S ribosomal RNA". It matches the Rfam family "Bacterial small subunit ribosomal RNA", at positions 29 to 523 of the family's 1533-position model. The record is from RNAcentral.
AGUGAACGCUGGCGGCAGGCCUAACACAUGCAAGUCGAACGGCAGCACAGAGGAGCUUGCUCCUUGGGUGGCGAGUGGCGGACGGGUGAGGAAUACAUCGGAAUCUGCCUAUUUGUGGGGGAUAACGUAGGGAAACUUACGCUAAUACCGCAUACGACCUACGGGUGAAAGCGGAGGACCUUCGGGCUUCGCGCAGAUAGAUGAGCCGAUGUCGGAUUAGCUAGUUGGCGGGGUAAAGGCCCACCAAGGCGACGAUCCGUAGCUGGUCUGGGAGGAGUGUCGGCCAAACUGGAACUGGGACACGGUCCAGACUCCUACGGGAGGCAGCAGUGGGGAAUAUUGGACAAGGGGCGAAAGCCUGAUCCAGCCAUGCCGCGUGGGUGAAGAAGGCCUUCGGGUUGUAAAGCCCUUUUGUUGGGAAAGAAAAGCAGCCGGUUAAUACCCGGUUGUUCUGACGGUACCCAAAGGAUAAGCACCGGCUAACUUCGUGCCAGCAGCCGCCGUAA